This 71-nucleotide transfer RNA is filed under the name Scleropages formosus (Asian bonytongue). RNAcentral's name for it is "tRNA-Ala". Lineage: Eukaryota; Metazoa; Chordata; Actinopteri; Osteoglossiformes; Osteoglossidae. The record is from RNAcentral.
GCAGGUAGCGCAAUGGUUAUAGUCUUUAGCUUGCAACUGAAGGACCAGGGUUCAAAUCCCUGACUCCUGCC